UUCACUAAUACAAAAAUGAAAUAUAGUAGUAUAACUAAGGAAGAAGCGGAAAAAAACACUAAAAAUUGGAAAAUUUAUUCCAUUAUAUUUACACUUAAUUGUUUUUUCCCCGCUUCUUUCCUUUUUCUGAUUCUUUUUGUUUCCUCCCCUUUUCAAUUUCGUAAACAUUCUUAUUCACAGAAACGAAAAAACUGUGAACCUCCUUAAAGGAAAAUGAAAAAAGCAGUUCGUUUAUUCAAGCUCCUUGAUGAUACGAUUUACUAUGAGCAAGAAGAGUGAAAGAAGAAGAGAGGGUGGCGAACUACAGAAGAAGAAAACAAUAAAUGAUGACAAACUAUUUGUGGCAUUUUGUGAAAUCGCAUCAACAUUAAGAAGGUUGUGUCUCCAAAGUUAUCAAAGCCAUUUGACGUUUCAAAGGUUUAUCUUUAAUGACCUGUUCAGCUAAAAUAUCAAAUAAAUUAACCUUUUUUUUUUCAAAGUUGAGUUUGAUACGGUUAGUAUUUUCUUUUUUUAUGGUACACAAAUUAACAGUUGUAAAUAAAAUUAUUUGUUCUUCCAUCCGACGAAUUGUAUAAUCUCUUAAUUAAAUUUACGCAUCCUGCCUUUAUGCUUUUCAA
Molecule: long non-coding RNA, 617 nt
Organism: Lycium barbarum (goji berry)
Lineage: Eukaryota; Viridiplantae; Streptophyta; Magnoliopsida; Solanales; Solanaceae
Exons: 2
Source: RefSeq, a predicted model, not a curated record